GGCGGCAUGCUUAACACAUGCAAGUCGAACGGCAGCACGAACUAGUUUACUAGUUUGGUGGCGAGUGGCGGACGGGUGAGUAACGCGUAGGAAUAUACCUUGAAGAGGGGGAUAACUUGGGGAAACUCAAGCUAAUACCGCAUACACUCUGAGGAGAAAAGCUGGGGACCUUCGGGCCUGGCGCUUUAAGAAUAACCUGCGUCUGAUUAGCUAGUUGGUGGGGUAAGGGCCUACCAAGGCGACGAUCAGUAGCUGGUCUGAGAGGAUGAUCAGCCACACUGGGACUGAGACACGGCCCAGACUCCUACGGGAGGCAGCAG
This 320-nucleotide ribosomal RNA is filed under the name uncultured bacterium US11. RNAcentral's name for it is "bacterial SSU rRNA". It matches the Rfam family "Bacterial small subunit ribosomal RNA", at positions 38 to 354 of the family's 1533-position model. The record is from RNAcentral.